AAAAAGCAAAUAGAAGAGCUUUACUUAGUCUCCGUGUGAAGCUCCAGGAGGGCCCGUCUCAGUCCGAUGAACUUUGCAGCAAUAUUAUAGUUAUUCGUGAGAGAAAGGAAUCAGAAUGCCACAGCUCAAAGUGAACAAGCACCUGAUUUUUGCAACUGAGCCUUUCCUGACCCAAGAAGUCUCUAACAAUAUUUUCUCUACCAUCACCAAGUACACUUUAUUUUUAUUAAAUGAUAUUGUAGCAAGCUGCUAAAAAAAAUUAUCGCAAACGGUAAUGUAAAAACAAAUCAAGACACUUUCUGAAGAACUGUGUACCACUAAAAGUAAUAUAUUCGCAAUGUUCACAGAAUUCCAUUAAACAUAAAGAAAAAACAUAACUGAUAUAUUGUACUUAAUUAUUUGUGGAGUAAUAACCAGGUACAGUGAAAGUCUAGGCAAUGUGGACUACCUCAUUAAAUAACUGAUUGUCAACCAUCACAGUUAGAUCAGACCUAGAACUUAAAGCAAGCUGUAGGAAGCCACGCCAAAACAAAACCCGAUAGUUCCCAUGUGACCUGACUCCUCUGCUCUAAUGCGAGCACCUUUGCCGGUACGAAAACCUUCUCACUGAUUCUAACUGUUACUCCUGAAAAGUGGAAAUGCAGCUGUCCUUACAGCAAAUAUCAUAUCUAUCUAACAACCCCCAUAGGUCUUUCAGUAAUCUGCUCAUUUAUCGAGCUCACCGAAGUAUUCAGAAUCUAUGCACAGAAGAAUAGGUGGGGGUUGCGUUUAUUUGCCUACUUCUUACCAUAGGGAAGCUUAAAAGAUGUUUGUUGACUGCGGCAAAUGGACUCUUGGCAAACAUUUAGGGGAAGCUACUCAGUGGUGUCUCAGGGCCCAACAGCUCACGCACCCAUGUUUCUGCUACAGUCCUUGCCUUUUCCAUUCUCAGUAUGUCUGUCCGGGUCUGGGAGACGCAAUAUGGCGGAAAUUGUGAACAACCUCGAUUUCUUUUCAAAUGAUAUCACAGCAAAUGUGAGAGGAAUAGCUGAUAAUUCCAAAUAAAAGAACGUCUUCAAAAUUUCCCUAGAAAACGAUGGAAGUCCAACAUAGAAGAAUCCCUGCUAACGGCAUGAUUCCAUUCCUAGAACCUCCAGAUGCUCCUAAUGGACCAUAAAACCUUAAUUGUAUCAUAUGUUUAGUUGCACCCUAAAUCUGGGUGCCAAGAUUCUGAUGUCACCAAAAAGCCUCGAUACCAUGGGCAGUGCAGCUCAAGUCCGCACUAUAAAUUGUGCACCCAAGGAGGGCAAGGUCCUCAGGGAAGUGUUUCUCUUCUGUGGGAACAGGACUCUGAAAGUACAUAGAGAACUCAUGCAGGUCGCACGAUCUUCCCUAACACAUCUAUGAUCAGGGUGGCCAGGACAAGGAACUCCCUAGCUCUGAGGGAAAUCCAAUUUAUUUGUAAGUUCCCAGUUCGAACCUGCAUCAUCACACAGGCCUGUUGGAUGGUCCCAACAUAUAUGUGAGUGAAUGUUCUCAGUCAGAACCUGAGUUAUCCAUCACGCAGGCCUGUGGGAUGGUCUGCAUCAUUGAUCACACACCUGUUUCAGUCAUGUUGCGUCAUGACCUCAGCUUCAAUUGACAUAGUUAUUCAGGUAUUUUUUUUUUUACACAUUCCUUGGGCAUCAUCUUUCUGAAGACUCACUGUUGCACCUAUUAAUCUGACAUUGACUAAAUGAGCAAUUCUGGGCACAUUAAUUUCUUUCACAGUAUGGAGGAGCAACACCAGGGCCUUGCACAUGCAAGGCAAGUAGUGUUCUGCUAAGCUCCACUCCCAGCCCUGUUUGUGUUAAACUUGAAAUACAUUUCUGGCAAGACAAAUAACACAUUGAAAGCCACACCUGAAGAGCACUGGCUUUUUAAAUGUUUAAUGUAUGUUCGAUCAGUUAAAAUUGAACAUCAUUACCUGAAUUAGAUUAUCUAUAUUAUUUUAAGGGCAAGGAGUUUUGCAUUCCAAAUUUUAAAAUCUGUUUUUCAUUGUCCUUCUACUUGACUAUAACCCCAUAGUUGGCUUUCCAUUUACGUGUCUCUGUAGUUAGGUAUGACUAACUAUAAACAAGCUUUGCUUGUAUGUUUCUAUUGAACUUCAAGAUCUGUGUGGAAACCAUCACACUUAAUGGGAGGGUACAAAUGUGCUCAGAAAGUAAACAGUGGCCCUUAAAUGCAUCUUGUGUCCUCUUCCUCCUCUGCAGAGCACUACCCACUACAAGAAAGAAAUGAAAGGGCAUGAAUUGCUUCAGACUUCCCAACUUUAUCUCAGGGGAUGAAAAAUAAGUUUUGUGUUUCUCGUUAAUCGAUAUAGGAAAAAGGCUAGGCACUUAAGACUUGUCCUGAUCCAGUGGCCACCAUAUACUGAUAAAAGUCUAAAGACCAUGGAGACUUGGUUCCUUAAUCUUAAAUACAUUCUUCAAUGUUUGGCAUUUUUAUCUAUUUGUUACUCAAAUGUGUUGCUAAUUCUCCCAUUUUUUCUUUUGACAAAUUAAGCCUGUUGGAGUAAGCUAUAAAACAGACAUAUACAUUUCCCCCCACUUGCUACAAAAGAUGUCUUUAGACAUAGUAUUGAGACCUCCCCUCCAGAUGACAGGUUUGGCCAGGUGUGGUAUGGAGGCUUAGGUCCAUGUACUAGGAUCUCAAACUCAGAGGUCCAAGGAGUAGCCAUACCCUGCCUUCCUCACAAGUCUAAGGGGAAAAAAUUCUCUACUGGGAGUUUUAUAGUCAGGUAAUGUUUUAGCCAUUUGAAGUCAGCACUUAGAGUUAGAUUGCAUUGCCCUUGAGAGAACCAAUGAUUAUUCAUUUCUCUGCCAUAAUAAAUGAAUUGUUCUUUAUUUUUCACAUGUAUUAAGCACAGGUCUGAUGCAAUUAUUUAAGGUAUAAAAUACUAGAAAAUGAAAUGUAAAGAAUGGGAAAUUAUAUUUUUUGCAUGAAAAUAGACUGCUUACAAAUUUGCUUAAUAUCUCAGGACAAAAGAAUGAACAGUUGUAUGUAAAAUUGAUAAAUAAGUUGUAUUUUCUUUACAGUUUUUAUUUUAAGAAAACCCUACAAUGGGGAAGGGGGCUGAUAGUUUUAGGGUCUCUCUUAAGUAUGCUACAUAAUCCUGCCUGUGAAUCUACAAAUCCUCCCAUGAGAAUGAGACCAGCUCCAUGUGAGGACCAGUCCCUGAACGAGAUCCUCUUCACUGAGAACACAUUAGUGGUUGUACUGCAGAGGCGAUGAAUACUCGUAAGAAAGCGUUUCUAAACCUAGUCCCAGACAUCAAGGGUUUUCACAAGGUAACAAUGCCACGGAAGCACUCAUCUCUCCACUCAUUUUACGUUUCUUUGUUAAAUCAUUGCAAUGAUUGCAUGGGGAAGGGGAAAUGGCUAUUUUUUUGAAGAAUUGCUUAUCCUACUUUCAAUUUUUGAAAAUCAAGGAAUUAAAAUAUUACUUUUUAAAUAUGCAUAGAUGUAUCUUAACUGUAAUUAUAUUUUCAUUUGCUUUGUUAUAACAGCAUGAACAGCAAAUACAAAAUGCACUUACAGAAACUUUUGUAAAAAAUAAAGAUUUUUUUUAUUUCUCAAAA
This 3598-nucleotide long non-coding RNA is filed under the name Mus musculus (house mouse). RNAcentral's name for it is "long non-coding RNA chr11:54361158-54364756". The record is from RNAcentral. Lineage: Eukaryota; Metazoa; Chordata; Mammalia; Rodentia; Muridae.